GCACAAGCAGCGGAGCGUGUGGUUUAAUUCGAUGCUACACGAAGAACCUUACCAGGGUUUGACAUGCAAGUGGUAGGAAACCGAAAGGCGACCGACCCUUCGGGGAGCUUGCACAGGUGCUGCAUGGCUGUCGUCAGCUCGUGUCGUGAGAUGUUCGGUUAAGUCCGCUAACGAGCGCAACCCUCGCUGUGUGUUAUAUGUGUCACACGGGACUGCCGGUCUUAAGCCGGAGGAAGGUGGGGAUGAUGUCAAGUCAGCAUGGCCUUUAUAGGUGGGGCUACACACGUCAUACAAUGGCUGGUACAAAGGGUCGCCAACCCGCGAGGGGGAGCUAAUCCCAUAAAGCCAGUCGUAGUCCGGAUCGUAGUCUGCAACUCGACUACGUGAAGUCGGGAUCGCUAGUAAUCGUGGAUCAGAAUGUCACGGUGAAUACGUUCCCGGGUCUU
RNAcentral lists this ribosomal RNA (446 nucleotides) under uncultured Leptolinea sp. Its description in RNAcentral is "bacterial SSU rRNA". It matches the Rfam family "Bacterial small subunit ribosomal RNA", at positions 923 to 1382 of the family's 1533-position model. Lineage: Bacteria; Bacillati; Chloroflexota; Anaerolineae; Anaerolineales; Anaerolineaceae. The record is from RNAcentral.